AGAGGUGUGACUCAAGCGGUGGAGUGACUGUCUGGCAAACACAAAGCCCUGAGUUCAAACCUCAGUACCACCA
RNAcentral lists this transfer RNA (73 nucleotides) under Dipodomys ordii (Ord's kangaroo rat). It matches the Rfam family "tRNA". Rfam says of the family: Transfer RNA (tRNA) molecules are approximately 80 nucleotides in length. Their secondary structure includes four short double-helical elements and three loops (D, anti-codon, and T loops). Further hydrogen bonds mediate the characteristic L-shaped molecular structure. tRNAs have two regions of fundamental functional importance: the anti-codon, which is responsible for specific mRNA codon recognition, and the 3' end, to which the tRNAs corresponding amino acid is attached (by aminoacyl-tRNA synthetases). tRNAs cope with the degeneracy of the genetic code in two manners: having more than one tRNA (with a specific anti-codon) for a particular amino acid; and 'wobble' base-pairing, i.e. permitting non-standard base-pairing at the 3rd anti-codon position. The record is from Rfam by way of RNAcentral. Lineage: Eukaryota; Metazoa; Chordata; Mammalia; Rodentia; Heteromyidae.